GUGGGGAAUAUUGGACAAUGGGCGCAAGCCUGAUCCAGCCAUGCCGCGUGAGUGAUGAAGGCCUUAGGGUUGUAAAGCUCUUUUGUCCGGGACGAUAAUGACGGUACCGGAAGAAUAAGCCCCGGCUAACUUCGUGCCAGCAGCCGCGGUAAUACGAAGGGGGCUAGCGUUGCUCGGAAUCACUGGGCGUAAAGGGCGCGUAGGCGGCCAUUCAAGUCGGGGGUGAAAGCCUGUGGCUCAACCACAGAAUUGCCUUCGAUACUGUUUGGCUUGAGUAUGGCAGAGGUCAGUGGAACUGCGAGUGUAGAGGUGAAAUUCGUAGAUAUUCGCAAGAACACCAGUGGCGAAGGCGGCUGACUGGGCCAUUACUGACGCUGAGGCGCGAAAGCGUGGGGAGCAAACAGG
This 405-nucleotide ribosomal RNA is filed under the name uncultured Methylobacterium sp. RNAcentral describes it as "bacterial SSU rRNA". It matches the Rfam family "Bacterial small subunit ribosomal RNA", at positions 354 to 776 of the family's 1533-position model. The record is from RNAcentral. Lineage: Bacteria; Pseudomonadati; Pseudomonadota; Alphaproteobacteria; Hyphomicrobiales; Methylobacteriaceae.